GAUGAACGCUGGCGGCGUGCCUAAUACAUGCAAGUCGAGCGAAUGGAUUAAGAGCUUGCUCCGGUGGAUUAGUGGCGAACAGGUGAGUAACACGUGAGUAACCUGCCCUUGACUCUGGGAUAACUGCGGGAAACUGUAGCUAAUACCGGAUACGACCCUCGGCGGCAUCGCCAGGGGGUGGAAAGAAUUUCGGUCAAGGAUGGACUCGCGGCCUAUCAGCUAGUUGGUGAGGUAACGGCUCACCAAGGCGACGACGGGUAGCCGGCCUGAGAGGGUGACCGUGCACACUGGGGCUGAAGCACGGCCCAGACUCCGACGGGAGUCAGCAGUGGGGAAUAUUGCACAAUGGGCGCAAUCCUGAUGCAGCAACGACGCGUGAGGGAUGACGGGCUUCGGGUUGUAAACCUCUUUUAGUAGGGAAGAAGCGAAAGUGACGGUACCUGCAGAAAAAGCACCGGCUAACUACGUGCCAGCAGCCGCAGGAA
This 485-nucleotide ribosomal RNA is filed under the name uncultured bacterium. RNAcentral's name for it is "partial 16S ribosomal RNA". It matches the Rfam family "Bacterial small subunit ribosomal RNA", at positions 28 to 523 of the family's 1533-position model. The record is from RNAcentral.